AGGGACUCUGGCUUUGUCCCUGUUUCCCCCUUUUCUUCCUCUUCACCCACUAAAACCCUGUUUUACUCACGGUUCAAAUUGUUUGGCAGCCUGAAUUUUCAUGGCCAUGGGACAAAGAACCCCGUCUUUAGCUGAAUUAAGGAAAAGUUCUGCAACAUUUUUGACGUGCAACUUGGGGGCUCAAGCGGAGAAGCGAAGCAGAGCCCCUGGAAAACUCACAUAUGUGUCAACAAUAGUCCUUGAUGCCCCUGUAACAAAACUUGAGCAAGGCCUGGUGAUGAAGAGAUACAAGAUUGUCACCCAAGGAUUUGAUUAUACCUCUGUUGAAAGUUAAUGCACACUCAACCGAAUAUGGCAAUUGGUACUCUCAAUUCUAUAUUCUCAACAAUUACAGUGAAGAUACAAGUAGAAUACAAUCACUGCCACAUUUUUUGAAAUUCUGUGUAAACUGUAAUAUUCUGUCAACAUUAAUGACAUUUGAAGUGUCCUGUCAAAACAAUUGCAGCUACUUUAUGUAUAAAACAUAUUAAAUAGGCUCAUCCAACUUGCAUUCUUUAUUAAGCUUAUUUUCAUAUUUUUUCCUAUGGAUGAACUUAAAAAUAAUUUUGUUUCUUAAUUAAGAUUCUAUGCAUGAAGAUGCUGAAUAAUUUAAGACAAUUGUUCAUUCAAAUAGUUGCUAAUUACACCCUCCUGGCAUAGUUAUUGUAUUAUUACUACAUUUAGGAAUAAUAUGCUGUACUACUUGGACUUGAAAAUGUUUCUGACAUUUUAAUGAACACACUACUUAGUUAUAUUUUACAAGGGUUUUCAGUGAACCACAGAGGAUUAAAAAAUGUCAUUCAAGGGUUGUAGAUAAUUAAACUGACUGAAUAUAAGAAGCCUCAUAUGGAAGUGAAAAUUAUGUAUGAAUUUUGUUGAGCUGGAAAUGUGUUUUACUAAAUGACUUCAGAUUUGUUACUUUUAAAUACAAGAUGAAGGGAAUCAAGGGGAUACUUUCUUCUCACCUCAAUUUGUUCCAUUUGCAUAAGCUAUUUUAUCUUUCAAUAUCCCUUUUGAUAUUUCAUUUUGGCCCUUGAAUACACUAAAGAUUAUUUAAAAUAAAUAAAUGUUGACUUUGAAAUACUGCUAU
Molecule: long non-coding RNA, 1129 nt
Filed under: Homo sapiens (human)
Lineage: Eukaryota; Metazoa; Chordata; Mammalia; Primates; Hominidae
Description: HSALNT0297119
Source: RNAcentral